UACGUAGGGUGCAAGCGUUAAUCGGAAUUACUGGGCGUAAAGCGUGCGCAGGCGGUUUUGUAAGUCUGUCGUGAAAUCCCCGGGCUCAACCUGGGAAUUGCGAUGGAGACUGCAAGGCUAGAAUCUGGCAGAGGGGGGUAGAAGUCCACGUGUAGCAGUGAAAUGCGUAGAGAUGUGGAGGAACACCGAUGGCGAAGGCAGCCCCCUGGGUCAAGAUUGACGCUCAUGCACGAAAGCGUGGGGAGCAAACAGG
RNAcentral lists this ribosomal RNA (253 nucleotides) under uncultured bacterium. Its description in RNAcentral is "partial 16S ribosomal RNA". It matches the Rfam family "Bacterial small subunit ribosomal RNA", at positions 524 to 776 of the family's 1533-position model. The record is from RNAcentral.